Molecule: unclassified non-coding RNA, 407 nt
Filed under: Hevea brasiliensis (rubber tree)
Lineage: Eukaryota; Viridiplantae; Streptophyta; Magnoliopsida; Malpighiales; Euphorbiaceae
Source: RNAcentral
CGGGCAAUCACCACAGGAGCAGCCCAGUGAAGUGUCACCACAUGAAUAAACAGACACAUUCAUAAGCUCCAUUUGAGAUGACGCUGAAGGGUUCACCUUAAAAUUUAUGGCAUAAGGUGAUCCAGGAAAACCGAGGGCUACUUUCUGACCAAGAAAUGCAAAAAGUUCUUCAAAACUUUUAGCACCACCACCAACAAAAUCUAUGGCCCGUGUAUUCAUUGUACCAAAUUUAACAUCCUUGCAGGAAUCGUAAAGACCUUUUCCAAACUUCUCGGUUACGUAGUAGUCAAUGCCAUCUACAGUCAUACUUCCACCAACCUCUGCAAUGGACGUCACAUUAAUAAAUAAACUCUGCCUUGGAGAGCAGGAAAGCUCACAAAAAAGAUUUAGGAAAUUCCUCAAGCAUG